CCACAGACUUGCAACAUCACCUUCCCUGAUGCUGGGGCAGGUGUUUCCGGGUCAGCCUCAUCACACUCCGUGGGAAAUUUCAACCCAGCUGCUUGGCAUCUCCUGUCCACACGAUCAAGACCCAUAGAAAUCUGCUACAGAUCACAAACCUCCUCUGUCCUGUGGCAAAACAACGUGGUUCACUGAGGAACAGUCUGCCACCAACAGUGAAGUUUCCAGAAUCCCAGGGCACAGACAGUGAUGAUUCUUCAGACCAUCUUCCAUUUGGCAGAUCUUAACACCUGCUAGCUGACUGAGUCAAAGGCUCUUGCUGCAAGAUACAACAUGUAGGUGAGAGGAGGGAAGAAAAGAGAAAAGCAGGAUGGCCCAGCUUAUUGCAAUUCUGAGUGUAUGGGACCAAGGACCUUGAACUUAGGACAUAACCCCCAAGGCCAUGUUCUUUCCACUGAUCUCCAUUAUGUUGGCAAGGUGAAAUAAAGGUCA
Long non-coding RNA from Camelus dromedarius (Arabian camel), 483 nucleotides. RefSeq lists it as uncharacterized. The record is from RefSeq and is a predicted model, not a curated record. The transcript is spliced from 4 exons. NCBI's taxonomy places the organism in Eukaryota, Metazoa, Chordata, Mammalia, Artiodactyla, Camelidae.